Molecule: non-coding RNA, 25 nt
Filed under: Rattus norvegicus (Norway rat)
Lineage: Eukaryota; Metazoa; Chordata; Mammalia; Rodentia; Muridae
Source: RNAcentral
UGGAUCCUUUGUUUGAUUUGGAUGG